This 253-nucleotide ribosomal RNA is filed under the name uncultured bacterium. Its description in RNAcentral is "partial 16S ribosomal RNA". It matches the Rfam family "Bacterial small subunit ribosomal RNA", at positions 524 to 776 of the family's 1533-position model. The record is from RNAcentral.
UACAGAGGUCUCAAGCGUUGUCCGGAUUUACUGGGUGUAAAGGGUGCGCAGGCGGACUGGUUAGUCAGGGGUGAAAUCCCGUUGCUCAACAACGGACCUGCCUUUGAUACUGCCAGUCUUGAAUUAGCGAGAGGUUCGUGGAAUUCCGAGUGUAGCAGUGAAAUGUGUAGAUAUUCGGAAGAACACCAGUGGCGAAGGCAGCGAACUGGCGCUAUAUUGACGCUCAGGCACGAAAGCAUGGGGAUCAAACAGG